UACAGAGGUUGCAAGCGUUGUUCGGAAUUAUUGGGCGUAAAGCGCGUGUAGGCGGGAGGCUAAGUCGCGUGUGAAAUCCCUCGGCUCAACCGAGGAAGUGCGCGCGAAACUGGUUUUCUUGAGUGCCGGAGAGGGUGGCGGAAUUCCCGGUGUAGAGGUGAAAUUCGUAGAUAUCGGGAGGAACACCAGUGGCGAAGGCGGCCACCUGGACGGACACUGACGCUGAGACGCGAAAGCGUGGGGAGCAAAC
RNAcentral lists this ribosomal RNA (250 nucleotides) under uncultured bacterium. RNAcentral describes it as "partial 16S ribosomal RNA". It matches the Rfam family "Bacterial small subunit ribosomal RNA", at positions 524 to 773 of the family's 1533-position model. The record is from RNAcentral.